ACUGCUCAGUAACACGUGGUCAAUCUAGCCUAUGGACGGGGAUAACCUCGGGAAACUGAGGAUAAACCCCGAUAGAUCAUUAUGCCUGGAACGGUUUAUGGUCCAAACGAUUCGUCGCCAUAGGGUGGGACUGCGGCCUACCAGCUUGUUGGUGAGGUAAUGGCCCACCAAGGCUAUUACAGGUACAGGGCUCUGAGAGGAGAAGCCCGGAGAUGGGUACUGAGACACGGACCCAGGCCCUAUGGGGCGCAGCAGGCGAGAAACCUUUGCAAUGUGCGCAAGCACGACAAGGUUAAUCUCGAGUGUUUCCUGCUAAAGGAAUCUUUUGUUAGUUUGUAAAACCACUGAUGAACAAGGGGUGGGCAAGUUCUGGUGUCAGCCGCCGCGGUAAAACCAGCACCUCAAGUGGUCAGGAUGAUUAUUGGGCCUAAAGCAUCCGUAGCCUGUUCUGUAAGUUUCCGGUUAAAUCCAUUAGCUCAACUAAUGGGCUGCCGAAAAUACUGCAAAACUAGGGAGUGGGAGAGGUAGACGGUACUCGGUAGGAAGGGGUAAAAUCCUUUGAUCUAUUGAUGACCACCUGUGGCGAAGGCGGUCUACCAGAACACGUUCGACGGUGAGGGAUGAAAGCUGGGGGAGCAAACCGGAUUAGAUACCCGGGUAGUCCCAGCUGUAAACGAUGCAGACUCGGUGAUGCCCUGGCUUGUGGCCAGUGCAGUGCCGCAGGGAAGCCGUUAAGUUUGCCGCCUGGGAAGUACGUACGCAAGUAUGAAACUUAAAGGAAUUGGCGGGGGAGCAC
RNAcentral lists this ribosomal RNA (796 nucleotides) under uncultured archaeon. RNAcentral's name for it is "bacterial SSU rRNA". It matches the Rfam family "Archaeal small subunit ribosomal RNA", at positions 85 to 879 of the family's 1478-position model. The record is from RNAcentral.